This is a long non-coding RNA of Alosa sapidissima (American shad), 117 nucleotides long. RefSeq lists it as uncharacterized. NCBI's taxonomy places the organism in Eukaryota, Metazoa, Chordata, Actinopteri, Clupeiformes, Clupeidae. The record is from RefSeq and is a predicted model, not a curated record. The transcript is spliced from 2 exons.
AGAUGACCAGGGCCUGUUCUCCGCCAUGAUGAACGAUACUUUCAGUCAUAGCAGUGGAGAGCUGCACACUUUUCAAUCCAUGUGUGAAUGUGGUUUUGCUCCAGGGCGCACCUGGGG